Molecule: long non-coding RNA, 1125 nt
Filed under: Heterocephalus glaber (naked mole-rat)
Lineage: Eukaryota; Metazoa; Chordata; Mammalia; Rodentia; Bathyergidae
Description: lncRNA (ENSHGLG00000038734.1)
Source: RNAcentral
AAGAAGGAACAGCAUUGAAGAAAUAAUGACUUUAUUAUGUUUGAGGAUUUCCCCCCUUACAUUUUCAGCAAUUUUCUGUGACUAAGUCAUGGAAAAGAACAAAACUAGGGAUACAAAAUCAGAAAAAUAAAAAUCUCAAUUUGGACCCACAUCUUUGCCAAUUAAUAUAAACACCUCAUACCUCAAUUUCUCUGUACUUAAAAUGAAGAUAAUAGUUAAUAUUAUUAAGUACAAAGUAUUCAAUAGAAGGGGAAAAUGAAAUCACAAUUGUCACCAACAGCAGCCCAGACUGACCAGCUAGGCCACGCUUUGCUGCUACAUUUGAAUGCAGUCAAUAAUUUCCAAGAAGUAACUGUGACAUAACACAUGGGUUGCAGAAUCAGCAGGGAGGAAUAUGGGAUUAGCACACAGUUCCAGAACCUCCCUGCUCCCCAGAGUGUAACCCCACAAACAGUCAGCCCAAGUAGGAAUCGGUUUCACCUCGGAGCAAAUGGCCUUGUUGCAAUCAUAGCCCCCAUCUGAGACCCUGUGAAGUCACUGCACUACCAUUCCUCUGAAUGAGACCAUUGUCAAAUCUUCAACGUAUGACCUCCAACCCUAGGUGCCAAGUGCCCGGUGACAGUUGUUUACACACCUGAGACACAUAUUCUGGAAGCUGUGAUCCUGGGCCUGGACAUACGGAAGAGUUAUGGUGACCAACCAACCUGGUGACGAAAAAGCACAAACUUCAACACCAACCAAUAGUUAGGACCCCAGAGAGAUGCUGACAUUUCUGGUAAAAAAAAAAAGUGAGAAAUCAAAUAUGAAUCUGAUGGACAAGCCAACACCCAGCUUCCCACAAGACAGACAGUAAAUCAACGAUGUUCCGGAGCUGCGUCAAUCUGAAUCCCAAUCAGGACAGAUCCGCCUUCUUCAGAACAUAGCUUUUGGUGGAAAAACACCUCAGUUUUUGUCCUAGGCUCUCCAUUCUAUGCUGGCCACAAGAGAACAAGGAAGUGGCAGGAUAUUCAUGGAGGAAACAUUUCCACGGCACUCAGAGAUCGAAGUGUUUAUAUCCCAGACUGGACGAGCUUCAGUAUGAAUUUGCAUCUUGCCUCUGUACUGCUUGCUAUUUUUUAAUGAUAG